This 253-nucleotide ribosomal RNA is filed under the name uncultured bacterium. Its description in RNAcentral is "partial 16S ribosomal RNA". It matches the Rfam family "Bacterial small subunit ribosomal RNA", at positions 524 to 776 of the family's 1533-position model. The record is from RNAcentral.
UACGGAGGGUGCGAGCGUUGUUCGGAAUUACUGGGCGUAAAGGGCGCGUAGGCGGCCUGCUAAGUCGAACGUGAAAUCCCCGGGCUCAACCCGGGAACUGCGUCCGAUACUGACAGGCUCGAAUCCGGGAGAGGGAUGUGGAAUUCCAGGUGUAGCGGUGAAAUGCGCAGAUAUCAGGAGGAACACCGAUGGCGAAAGCAGGUACCUGGACCAUUACUGACGCUCAGCUGCGAAAGCUAGGGGAGCAAACAGG